RNAcentral lists this transfer RNA (75 nucleotides) under Oligolophus tienmushanensis. RNAcentral's name for it is "tRNA-Asp". The record is from RNAcentral. Lineage: Eukaryota; Metazoa; Arthropoda; Arachnida; Opiliones; Phalangiidae.
AAGAAAAUAGUUAAAUAAAUAACUAUAUUUUGUCAAAAUAUUAUUGCCUAAUAUUUUAUUAUAAGGCUUUUCUUA